Molecule: ribosomal RNA, 1438 nt
Filed under: Salmonella enterica subsp. enterica serovar Thompson
Lineage: Bacteria; Pseudomonadati; Pseudomonadota; Gammaproteobacteria; Enterobacterales; Enterobacteriaceae
Description: bacterial SSU rRNA
Rfam family: Bacterial small subunit ribosomal RNA
Source: RNAcentral
GUAAUGUCUGGGAAACUGCCUGAUGGAGGGGGAUAACUACUGGAAACGGUGGCUAAUACCGCAUAACGUCGCAAGACCAAAGAGGGGGACCUUCGGGCCUCUUGCCAUCAGAUGUGCCCAGAUGGGAUUAGCUAGUUGGUGAGGUAACGGCUCACCAAGGCGACGAUCCCUAGCUGGUCUGAGAGGAUGACCAGCCACACUGGAACUGAGACACGGUCCAGACUCCUACGGGAGGCAGCAGUGGGGAAUAUUGCACAAUGGGCGCAAGCCUGAUGCAGCCAUGCCGCGUGUAUGAAGAAGGCCUUCGGGUUGUAAAGUACUUUCAGCGGGGAGGAAGGGAGUAAGGUUAAUAACCUUAUUCAUUGACGUUACCCGCAGAAGAAGCACCGGCUAACUCCGUGCCAGCAGCCGCGGUAAUACGGAGGGUGCAAGCGUUAAUCGGAAUUACUGGGCGUAAAGCGCACGCAGGCGGUCUGUCAAGUCGGAUGUGAAAUCCCCGGGCUCAACCUGGGAACUGCAUUCGAAACUGGCAGGCUUGAGUCUUGUAGAGGGGGGUAGAAUUCCAGGUGUAGCGGUGAAAUGCGUAGAGAUCUGGAGGAAUACCGGUGGCGAAGGCGGCCCCCUGGACAAAGACUGACGCUCAGGUGCGAAAGCGUGGGGAGCAAACAGGAUUAGAUACCCUGGUAGUCCACGCCGUAAACGAUGUCUACUUGGAGGUUGUGCCCUUGAGGCGUGGCUUCCGGAGCUAACGCGUUAAGUAGACCGCCUGGGGAGUACGGCCGCAAGGUUAAAACUCAAAUGAAUUGACGGGGGCCCGCACAAGCGGUGGAGCAUGUGGUUUAAUUCGAUGCAACGCGAAGAACCUUACCUGGUCUUGACAUCCACAGAACUUUCCAGAGAUGGAUUGGUGCCUUCGGGAACUGUGAGACAGGUGCUGCAUGGCUGUCGUCAGCUCGUGUUGUGAAAUGUUGGGUUAAGUCCCGCAACGAGCGCAACCCUUAUCCUUUGUUGCCAGCGGUCCGGCCGGGAACUCAAAGGAGACUGCCAGUGAUAAACUGGAGGAAGGUGGGGAUGACGUCAAGUCAUCAUGGCCCUUACGACCAGGGCUACACACGUGCUACAAUGGCGCAUACAAAGAGAAGCGACCUCGCGAGAGCAAGCGGACCUCAUAAAGUGCGUCGUAGUCCGGAUUGGAGUCUGCAACUCGACUCCAUGAAGUCGGAAUCGCUAGUAAUCGUGGAUCAGAAUGCCACGGUGAAUACGUUCCCGGGCCUUGUACACACCGCCCGUCACACCAUGGGAGUGGGUUGCAAAAGAAGUAGGUAGCUUAACCUUCGGGAGGGCGCUUACCACUUUGUGAUUCAUGACUGGGGUGAAGUCGUAACAAGGUAACCGUAGGGGAACCUGCGGUUGGAUCACCUCCUUACCUUAAAGAAGC